RNAcentral lists this transfer RNA (74 nucleotides) under Candidatus Nitrosopumilus sediminis. Its description in RNAcentral is "tRNA-Thr (TGT) (tRNA-Thr-TGT-1-1)". It matches the Rfam family "tRNA". From Rfam's summary of the family: Transfer RNA (tRNA) molecules are approximately 80 nucleotides in length. Their secondary structure includes four short double-helical elements and three loops (D, anti-codon, and T loops). Lineage: Archaea; Thermoproteati; Nitrososphaerota; Nitrososphaeria; Nitrosopumilales; Nitrosopumilaceae. RNAcentral also lists the same sequence under 10 other names. The record is from RNAcentral.
GCCAAUGUAGCUCAGCCUGGUAGAGCAAUUGAUUUGUAAUCAAUAGGUCAUGGGUUCAGAUCCCGUCAUUGGCU